Molecule: ribosomal RNA, 216 nt
Filed under: Glomeromycotina sp.
Lineage: Eukaryota; Fungi; Glomeromycota
Description: partial small subunit ribosomal RNA
Rfam family: Eukaryotic small subunit ribosomal RNA (bases 40-216)
Source: RNAcentral
GGGUCAGUAGGUUGGUCGCGCCAUCGGUACGUACUGGUCUCACUGAUUCCUCCUUCCUGAAGAACCGUAAUGCCAUUAAUUUGGUGUUGCGGGGAAACAGGACUGUUACUUUGAAAAAAUUAGAGUGUUUAAAGCAAGCUAACGCUUGAAUACAUUAGCAUGGAAUAAUGAAAUAGGACGAUCGAUCCUAUUUUGUUGGUUUCUAGGAUUGACGUA